AGGUAAAGCAAGAAAGGGCGUAUGGGGAAUGCCUAGGCACACUCCGGCGAAGAAGGACGCAGCAAACAGCGAAAUGCGACGGUGAGCGGUAAGCACGUGAAGAGCCGUCGAUAUCCGAAUGGGGGAACCCACACGGAGUCAUAUCCGUGUAUCACAUGUCGAAUACAUAGACAUGAUGAGGCGAGACGCAGGGAACUGAAACAUCUAAGUACCUGCAGGAAGAGAAAAUAAGAAUGAUUUUCUGAGUAGCGGCGAGCGAAAGGGAAAGAGCCCAAACCGAUCUGAGGAUCGGGGUAGUAGGAUCAUCGAUAAAUCAAACAGAGGAUCAUAGAGGAAUCACAUGGGAAGGUGAGCGAGAGAGGGUGAGAGCCCCGUACUCGAAAUGAGAGACUGGAGAGAGAUGACACCUGAGUAGGGCGGGACACGAGAAAUCCUGUCUGAAUCAGCCGGGACCAUCCGGCAAGGCUAAAUACGAGAGAGUGACCGAUAGUGAACCAGUACCGUGAGGGAAAGGUGAAAAGAACCCCGGGAGGGGAGUGAAAGAGAACCUGAAACCAUAUGCCUACAAGAAGUCAGAGCCGUUAAAGGGUGAUGGCGUGCCUUUUGUAGAAUGAACCGGCGAGUUACUGUAUGGAGCGAGGUUAAGCAGGAUAUGCGGAGCCGAAGCGAAAGCGAGUCUUAAGAGGGCGCGAGUUGCAUGCAGUAGACCCGAAACCGGGUGAUCUAGCCAUGACCAGGUUGAAGUUGGGGUAAAACCCGAUGGAGGACCGAACCGACCCCCGUUGAAACGUUGGCGGAUGAGUUGUGGCUAGGGGUGAAAUUCCAAUCGAACCCGGAGAUAGCUGGUUCUCCCCGAAAUAGCUUUAGGGCUAGCGUCGAGAGAAGAGUUGCGUGAAGGUAGAGCACUGAAUAUGUGAUGGCCCCAUCUCGGGGUACUGAGCAUAAUCAAACUGCGAAUGUCACGCCAACAUGCUCGGCAGUCAGACAGCGGGUGAUAAGGUCCGUUGUCAAGAGGGAAACAGCCCAGACCAUCAGCUAAGGUCCCAAAAUGUAUGCUAAGUGGAAAAGGAUGUGGAGAUGUACAGACAACUAGGAGGUUGGCUCAGAAGCAGCCAUCCUUUAAAGAGUGCGUAACAGCUCACUAGUCGAAUGACUCUGCGCCGAUAAUUUACCGGGGCUAAGCAUACUACCGAAGCUAUGGAUCCCAAGGGAUGGUAGGGGAGCGUUCCAUGAACGGAGAAGUACGACCGAAAGGACGUGUGGAGAUCAUGGAAGAGAGAAUGCCGGUGUGAGUAGCGGAACGUGGGUGAGAAUCCCACGCACCGAAAACCCAAGGUUUCCAGAGGAAGGUUCGUCCGCUCUGGGUAAGUCGGGACCUAAGGCGAGGCCGAAAGGCGUAGUCGAUGGACAACAGGUAGAGAUUCCUGUACCCGUAUAUAUGUGAAGGAAUGACGGAGAGAGGAAGCUGCAGCCAGCGGCUGGAAGAGCUGGUGCAAGCGAGAUAUCGGGAUGGCAGGCAAAUCCACCAUCCGAAACGAGAAGGCGUGAAGCGUACGGAAAGCUACGGCGAGUACGGAAGGCAGUGGAGGAACUUCCAAGAAAAGUUUCUAACGUUAAGUAUAUAUGGCCCGUACCGAAAAUGGACACACAUGGGUGAGGAGAGAAUCCUAAGGUGAGCGAGAGAACUAUAGCUAAGGAACUCUGCAAAAUGACUCCGUAACUUAGGGAGAAGGAGUGCUCAUAGAGAUAUGAGCCGCAGUGAAACGGCCCAAGCGACUGUUUACCAAAAACACAGCUCUCUGCUAAGCCGCAAGGCGAAGUAUAGGGGGUGACGCCUGCCCGGUGCUGGAAGGUUAAGGGGAGGGGUUAACGCAAGUGAAGCCCUGAACUGAAGCCCCAGUAAACGGCGGCCGUAACUAUAACGGUCCUAAGGUAGCGAAAUUCCUUGUCAGGUAAGUUCUGACCCGCACGAAAGGCGUAACGAUUUGGGCGCUGUCUCAGCUGUAGACUCGGUGAAGUCUUAGUACCUGUGAAGAUGCAGGUUACCCGCGACUAGACGGAAAGACCCCAUGGAGCUUCACUGCAGGUUGAUAUUGGGAUUUGAUGCAGCAUGUACAGGAUAGGUAGGAGGCAAAGAGAUGGAUACGCCAGUAUUCAAGGAGCCGCUGUUGGGAUACUACCCCUGUUGUAUUGGAUUUCUAACCGGACGACGUAGAGCCGUUGACGGGACAGUGUCAGUCGGGCAGUUUGACUGGGGCGGUCGCUCCCAAAGA
RNAcentral lists this ribosomal RNA (2273 nucleotides) under Blautia obeum. RNAcentral's name for it is "partial 23S ribosomal RNA". It matches the Rfam family "Bacterial large subunit ribosomal RNA", at positions 1 to 2295 of the family's 2925-position model. The record is from RNAcentral. Lineage: Bacteria; Bacillati; Bacillota; Clostridia; Lachnospirales; Lachnospiraceae.